CCCCUAGAUGUUCUGGGCCGCACGCGCGCUACACUGAACAGUUCAACAAGUCUUAACCUUGGCCGAUAGGUCUGGGUAAUCUUUGAACGCUGUUCGUGAUUGGGAUAGACCUUUGCAAUUAUGGGUCUUCAACGAGGAAUUCCUAGCAAACGCAAGUCAUCAGCUUGCAUUGAUUACGUCCCUGCCCUUUGUACACACCGCCCGUCGCACCUACCGAUUGAAUGGUCCGGUGAAAUCUCGGGACGGCGGCUUGGUCGCUUGCGUCCGACUGCUGAAACUUGAUUAAACCAUAUCAUUUAGAGGAAGGUGAANUCGUANCA
RNAcentral lists this ribosomal RNA (320 nucleotides) under uncultured eukaryote. Its description in RNAcentral is "partial 18S ribosomal RNA". It matches the Rfam family "Eukaryotic small subunit ribosomal RNA", at positions 1470 to 1796 of the family's 1831-position model. The record is from RNAcentral.